RNAcentral lists this ribosomal RNA (279 nucleotides) under uncultured prokaryote. RNAcentral's name for it is "partial 16S ribosomal RNA". It matches the Rfam family "Bacterial small subunit ribosomal RNA", at positions 524 to 801 of the family's 1533-position model. The record is from RNAcentral.
UACGAAGGGGGCUAGCGUUGUUCGGAAUUACUGGGCGUAAAGCGCGCGUAGGUGGUUCGUUAAGUUAGGAGUGAAAGCCCCGGGCUCAACCUGGGAAUUGCUUCUAAAACUGGCGAGCUAGAGUAUGGUAGAGGGUGGUGGAAUUUCCUGUGUAGCGGUGAAAUGCGUAGAUAUAGGAAGGAACAUCAGUGGCGAAGGCGACCACCUGGACUGAUACUGACACUGAGGUGCGAAAGCGUGGGGAGCAAACAGGGAUUAGAUACCUCGGUAGUCCCUGAG